GUGGUAGUAUAGCCCGGCCUAGUAUGUGCGGCUGUCACCCGCACGACGCGGGUUCAAAUCCCGCCCAGGGCGCCA
Molecule: transfer RNA, 75 nt
Filed under: Candidatus Bathyarchaeota archaeon
Lineage: Archaea; Thermoproteati; Candidatus Bathyarchaeota
Also listed under: 1 other name
Description: tRNA-Asp
Rfam family: tRNA
About the family: Transfer RNA (tRNA) molecules are approximately 80 nucleotides in length. Their secondary structure includes four short double-helical elements and three loops (D, anti-codon, and T loops).
Source: RNAcentral